RNAcentral lists this ribosomal RNA (216 nucleotides) under Glomeromycotina sp. RNAcentral describes it as "partial small subunit ribosomal RNA". The stretch from base 40 to 216 matches the Rfam family "Eukaryotic small subunit ribosomal RNA", at positions 686 to 864 of the family's 1831-position model. Lineage: Eukaryota; Fungi; Glomeromycota. The record is from RNAcentral.
GGGUCAGUAGGUUGGUCGUGUCACCGGUACGUACUGGUCUCACUGAUUCCUCCUUCCUGAAGAACCGUAAUGCCAUUAAUUUGGUGUUGCGGGGAAACAGGACUGUUACUUUGAAAAAAUUAGAGUGUUUAAAGCAGGCUAACGCUUGAAUACAUUAGCAUGGAAUAAUGAAAUAGGACGAUCGAUCCUAUUUUGUUGGUUUCUAGGAUUGACGUA